AUGAACCGUUAUAACCGGCGAUACCCGAAUGGGGAAACCCAGUGUGAUUCGUCACACUAUCAUUAACUGAAUCCAUAGGUUAAUGAGGCGAACCGGGGGAACUGAAACAUCUAAGUACCCCGAGGAAAAGAAAUCAACCGAGAUUCCCCCAGUAGCGGCGAGCGAACGGGGAGGAGCCCAGAGCCUGAAUCAGCAUGUGUGUUAGUGGAAGCGUCUGGAAAGGCGCGCGAUACAGGGUGACAGCCCCGUACACAAAAGCGCAUGUGCUGUGAGCUCGAUGAGUAGGGCGGGACACGUGGUAUCCUGUCUGAAUAUGGGGGGACCAUC
This 327-nucleotide ribosomal RNA is filed under the name Klebsiella pneumoniae. RNAcentral describes it as "partial 23S ribosomal RNA". It matches the Rfam family "Bacterial large subunit ribosomal RNA", at positions 90 to 457 of the family's 2925-position model. The record is from RNAcentral. Lineage: Bacteria; Pseudomonadati; Pseudomonadota; Gammaproteobacteria; Enterobacterales; Enterobacteriaceae.